GGAUGUGAGGGCGAUCUGGCUGCGACAUCUGUCACCCUAUUGAUCGCCAGGGUUGAUUCGGCUGAUCUGGCUGGCUAGGCGGGUGUCACCUUCCUCCCUCACCGCUCCAUGUGCGUCCCUCCCGAAGCUGCGCGCUCAGUCGAAGAGGACGACCAUCCCUGAUAGAGGAGGACCGUUCUUCGGUCAAGGGUAUACGAGUAGCUGCGCUCCCCUGCUAGAACCUCCAAACAAGCUCUCAAGAGAGACAUAGCUCUUCUCAGUACUGAAAUGAUUGGUUUUAGACUUAUGGAUCUUCACUAGUCCUAAGGUCAGUUUUAGGGGAUGUUGGACAACAUUG
Molecule: small nuclear RNA, 337 nt
Filed under: Castor canadensis (American beaver)
Lineage: Eukaryota; Metazoa; Chordata; Mammalia; Rodentia; Castoridae
Description: 7SK RNA (ENSCCNG00000027301.1)
Rfam family: 7SK RNA
About the family: 7SK was discovered as an abundant small nuclear RNA in the mid-70s but a possible function has only recently been suggested. Two independent studies have found that 7SK RNA binds the CDK9/cyclin T complex (known as elongation factor P-TEFb).
Source: RNAcentral